CGAACGCUGGCGGCGUGCUUAACACAUGCAAGUCGAACGCGAAAGGGACUUCGGUCCUGAGUAAAGUGGCGCACGGGUGAGUAACGCGUAGAUAACCUGUCUUCAUGUCUGGAAUAAUACGCCGAAAGGGGUACUAAUACCGGAUAUUCUUGCUUUUCAUAAGUUAUGCAAGCAAAGGUGGCCUCUGCAUAUGCUACUGCAUGAAGAGGGGUCUGCGUACCAUUAGCUAGUAGGUGGGGUAAUGGCCUACCUAGGUGACGAUGGUUAGCGGGUCUGAGAGGAUGAUCCGCCACACUGGCACUGGAACACGGGCCAGACUCCUACGGGAGGCAGCAGUGAGGAAUAUUGCGCAAUGGGGGAAACCCUGACGCAGCGACGCCGCGUGAGUGAAGGAAGGCCUUCGGGUCGUAAAGCUCUGUCAAGAGGAAAGAAGUGUACAAUGGCUAAUACCUGUUGUAUUUGACGGUACCUCUAAAGGAAGCACCGGCUAACUCCGUGCCAGCAGCCGC
This 509-nucleotide ribosomal RNA is filed under the name uncultured bacterium. RNAcentral's name for it is "bacterial SSU rRNA". It matches the Rfam family "Bacterial small subunit ribosomal RNA", at positions 30 to 518 of the family's 1533-position model. The record is from RNAcentral.